RNAcentral lists this ribosomal RNA (764 nucleotides) under uncultured organism. Its description in RNAcentral is "bacterial SSU rRNA". It matches the Rfam family "Bacterial small subunit ribosomal RNA", at positions 24 to 833 of the family's 1533-position model. The record is from RNAcentral.
UCAGGAUGAACGCUAGCGGUGUGUUAACACAUGCAAGUCGAGCGCAUCUUCGGAUGAGCGGCAGACGAGAGAGUAACACGUUGGUACCUACCCCAUACUCAGGGAUAACCCUCCGAAAGGAGGGCUAAUACCGGAUGGUCCCGCAAGGGUAAAGCUUUUGCGGUAUGGGAGGGGCCUGCGGCCUAUCAGCUAGUUGGUAAGUGUAAAGGCUUACCAAUGCGAUGACGGGUAGUUGAUGUGAGAGCAUGAUCAGCCUCGAUGGGACUGCGACACGGCCCAUACUCCUACGGGAGGCAGCAGUGAAGAAUCUUCCGCAAUGGACGAAAGUCUGACGGAGCAACACCGCGUGAAGGACGAAGGCCCUCGGGUCGUAAACUUCUUUUCUGAGGGAAUAAGUUCUGAAGGUACCUCAGGAAUAAGGCGCUGCUAACUACGUGCCAGCAGCAGCGGUAAUACGUAGGCGCCAAGCGUUAUCCGGAAUUACUGGGCGUAAAGCGUCCGUAGGCGGCUAAAUUAGUCGGGUGUUAAAUUUUCGUGCCUAACGCGAAAAACGUACUCGAAACUGUUUAGCUACGAGUCUGAAAGAGGUCACUGGAAUUCCUACUGGAGGGGUAAAAUCCGUAGAUAGUAGGAGGAACACCAAAAGCGAAGGCAGGUGGCUGGUUCAGUACUGACGCUCAGGGACGAAAGCGUGGGGAGCAAACAGGAUUAGAUACCCUGGUAGUCCACGCCGUAAACGAUGAGUGCUAGGCGUUGAAGAGUUG